This 194-nucleotide ribosomal RNA is filed under the name uncultured bacterium. RNAcentral describes it as "partial 16S ribosomal RNA". It matches the Rfam family "Bacterial small subunit ribosomal RNA", at positions 338 to 524 of the family's 1533-position model. The record is from RNAcentral.
CCUACGGGAGGCAGCAGUGGGGAAUAUUGCACAAUGGGCGCAAGCCUGAUGCAGCCAUGCCGCGUGUAUGAAGAAGGCCUUCGGGUUGUAAAGUACUUUCAGCGGGGAGGAAGGUGAUAAGGUUAAUAACCGCAGCAAUUGACGUUACCCGCAGAAGAAGCACCGGCUAACUCCGUGCCAGCAGCCGCGGUAAU